RNAcentral lists this long non-coding RNA (1237 nucleotides) under Sinocyclocheilus anshuiensis. Its description in RNAcentral is "lncRNA (ENSSANG00000042180.1)". The record is from RNAcentral. Lineage: Eukaryota; Metazoa; Chordata; Actinopteri; Cypriniformes; Cyprinidae.
AGUCACAGCAACACUGCGCAUGCGCAAGGACGUGUCGGUCAUCCAAGCCGCUCUUUGAUUGGUCAGAAGUUCUCGGGGGGCGUGGUCAGGAUCUGUAAUAAUAUUAACGCAUUGCAAACAGUGAUUGAAACGUCGAAAAGUUACUGUGUAUUUUGUCUUUGUUAGUAAUGAAACGUAUUAAAGACCGCGCAACAUAUAAAACGACAAUAUAUUGACAUUACAUGCAAUAAAUGAGUUAUUGUCGUUUAAAUCACAGCUCCAGGCUGGCAGUAAAGAAAUAGGAGAGGUGAUUUUGAAUCGUGAUGCAUUAAUACGUCUUUUAAGUUCCUUGGUCUGCCCCACAUUACUCCGGUCUAAUUAAUAACCAGUACAUCACUGUUAAGUAAAAUUGGACCCAAGGUUAUCCUGAUUUCCAUAUGCAGAUCUCCGCCGGCUGCAGCUUUGGCCAUCACCUUGCAUACAUUUAAAAGCAUCUUUUCAGUCCCUGCAUCUGAAUGCAGAUAUCUCGAUUUGAUAAUCUUUUAUUCGACGCUCAGGUUUUAUCGGCUACAUUUAUAUGCGGAUGUAACGGCAUGUCAAAGCAACAUUUGUCGUCCGUUUUUUCAUUUCAUCUUUACAUCUACGACAAAAGACGAACUGAUGUCAUGUUGUAUGUUUGCGUCUUGCAGUAAGUACGAGGAUCUGUACAGCUCACCGCGCGCACGGACAGAAGAAUUUUUCCAUGGACCCCCUGGUUUGGGAGACGGCCGCAGUUUGAAAAACUGUGGUGUAAAGAUGGCAUGGAUUGGAGAGGCCCGCUGUGCUGCUGCGGCUGCCCACACACCGUUUGCACUGUUUGGCCGCCAGAGGGCAGCGCGGGACCGGAACCCAGUGGCACCGGAGGGAGGAAGAGAGGAAAGGCGGUCGAGAGAUCGCUGGCCGUGCAACACGGACUACAGUUCAUCUCACGGGUCGGCGCAUAUUUUAAACAGCCUUUAUUACCCUAACCCAAACCGCUGUUUUUCCCCCUCCCGUUUCUAAAUCCGUUUACUGAGGGUCUUUUAUAAGCAGAAAUGUGAAAAGUGCUGACUGCUAUUCCCAUUUUGAGGAUAUCUGACUUCAUCAAAUUACAGUUGGGUUUUUGAAUAUUUCAUAUUUGAUCAAAAGCCCUUUACAAGCUGCACACACACACACACACACACGCACGCACGCACGCACACACACACACACACACACACACGGGAGAAAUAUUGAUCAA